AUGUCGUUGCUCAGUACCUGUUAAAAAGGCCAUAGUAAUUAUUUGUUAAAUUGCCCAGACAGACCAUGUUUCGGUAAAUUACCAUAUUUGGUAAUUGCGUUGGUCAUGUGACUCCACUUCUCACAGUGCAAUGUUCUGAUAUCGCUUCAUGGCAUAUUUAGAUGGAGUAGCAGUUAACUUCGGGCAUAUUUUCACAUAAUUGAACGUUGCACUUUGUUGAAGUUGUGUGCGUCCAUGUAUACGCGGCACCAUUCUCCACUAUAGACAUCACCGCAAAUCUUCUAGGAACUGCACUCCAGAGUCUAAUACUGAAGUUUAAAGGAGCUUAUAAAGAGGAACAUGUUCUCACCUCUGGCCUGGUGGACUCUUUACGCUACUACAUUAACAGAGACCUGGAAACCGAGCUCUCUGUCCAGGUACACACACACACACACACAGUCCUCUCUGUCCAGGUACACACACACACACACACACACACACACACAGAGCUCUCUGCCCAGGUAACAAAGACUGGACUCCGAACUCUAUCAAAUAAAGACAAUCAUCCCACUUCAAAAUAUCAAAAGUUAGGAAUUGUCAUUGAUUAGCUAACAUAUGAUUAAUCUAUCUAUUGUAAAUUCUACACUGCCAUAUUAACUAAAUAUAACAUAUGACUAAUAAAUCUAUGGUAAAUUAUACACUGUGCCAUAUUAGCGAAAUAUAACAUGAUUGUAUAUUAUAAUUGUAAAUUAUAUAUGCUAUAAAAGGUCUUGAAAUUGCCAACAAAAAAACUAAGUGGGAAAAUGUCCAUUAUUUUCUUAAUUCAUCUUCUGUUGUUAGGGUGAAGAUACAGUUCAGCCAAUCAAACUUUCACCAGCUUCUCUGUGGCCAAUAAGUACCAAACAGGAAGUGAAAAUGUCUGUCGGAAUGGUAGUGCACUUAUUAAUAAUUUAUGAACACUUAUCUAAUCUGAACAUUUAUCUGUUUCAUAUUUUGUUAGUCUGAGACACAUGUGAGACAGAUGCAGUGGAACGAAAAUAUCUUGGCAAGAAAACCAGUCAAAGUAACACCAAGUGUUGUUACAGGAUGUUGUUGACCUGGAACUGAAGAGUGAGGGACGGUAAAAUCUUCCCUUUCUAUCUAAAACCUACAAUAUUCUUUAGUCUCUGCACAGAUAGAGGUAGACAGACCUUCCCUUUGGGGUUGUCAGUAUGUUUAAUUGCAUAGAGAGAAGAGAACAUAAAUCACUUAUACAGCAUAUUGAAUUACCACCUUAUUAAAUUACAACUGGAAAAGCAACUGUCACAGUAGAGAUUCCAGGUUUUGAUCACCUGUACACACACACACACACACCACCACCACCACC
Clupea harengus (Atlantic herring) is the source of this 1345-nucleotide long non-coding RNA. The record is from Ensembl. NCBI's taxonomy places the organism in Eukaryota, Metazoa, Chordata, Actinopteri, Clupeiformes, Clupeidae.